This 1126-nucleotide long non-coding RNA is filed under the name Betta splendens (Siamese fighting fish). RNAcentral's name for it is "lncRNA (ENSBSLG00000014666.1)". Lineage: Eukaryota; Metazoa; Chordata; Actinopteri; Anabantiformes; Osphronemidae. The record is from RNAcentral.
GCCAUUGUGUUUCUGUACGUUUUCCCAUUAACCGAGUGACUAAGGGGGACCCCUGCACGUGACCCCUGAACAUACUGUAUCACCCCUUCUAGACCGCUGCCUUCAGCUCCCGCACCACAUGUGACCACGCAGAAAGCGAGGUCCUCCUCCACUGCUGGGAAAAAGGUUAAAAGAGACUGUCUUUCAUCAGCUCAUCAUUCUCAUCUGGCGCUGCAUAAUUUAUGAGCUUGUUACUGUAAUCAAAAAUUCCACUUUAUUUUAUUUAUCUUUUCCCGCUAUUUGGAUGGGGCGUGGUGCGGAUGGGAGACGCACAGUGGAGGCAGCGCCGGUUCCCGUGAGCCUGAGCCUUUUCAUGUGAAAUGAGAUACUGCUGUGAUGUCCCUCGGCCUCGUACCUGGGUGCUCGAUGAUCACCUUCAUCAUCCUCGGUGGCGGUCGCAGCACCAUCUACAGUGCUUGAAGGCUGAAUUGCAAAUAGUGACACUUAGCCACGCUGAGCUGUGGAGUGGAACUAUGCUUCCAAGCCACAGGGUGUCCUUCUUAGCCUCGCUGGUGGGAUCCUGGGCUUCUCUGAUGAUGGGGUGCAACUGCGGCUUCUGGGGAGUGUCUGGAAUGAGUGCCAUCUUCCUGCGGUGCUCCGCAGAGGCCUGGUGACGGGAAGAGAGGAGACGUUUCCUUGUUUGGAGCCAGCCAUUGGUUGACACGGGAGGACAUGGGGAGAGAGGGAGGAGGGUGAUGGGAAUGGCUUCCUCUCUCCUCCACCGCCCAGCAGCUCUGGCAUAUCACCAGCCUUAUGGUGGUAAUUGAUUCUCUCUGUGCCAUUAGUCUAUGAGACAAAGAUGCUCCAAAGAGAGGGAGGCGCUGUCACUUACAGGCUGGCACGGCGCCCGGCCACGCGCUCUCAGCGCGCGGCUAGAUGCAUGCGAAGACACACGUCCCUUUGCAGGCGCGCGCGCAGUUAGAUUCCUCGCACAGAUGCAAAGUAGCGCUGGUAUGAUGUCAGCUGUCAAAGUCUGCCCAAGCAGGAGCAUUGCUCAUUUGCAAAUGAGCCACACAGCACAAACAUAGUUAACGCACAACUGUACACGCGCAAUAAAAUCGAAGCGAAUACGAGAGACGUGUGAUUA